This is a long non-coding RNA of Physeter macrocephalus (sperm whale), 1177 nucleotides long. RefSeq lists it as uncharacterized. The transcript has 5 exons. The record is from RefSeq and is a predicted model, not a curated record. Lineage: Eukaryota; Metazoa; Chordata; Mammalia; Artiodactyla; Physeteridae.
CGGAGCGCCGCGGACGUCAUGGAGCGGCGCCUGGGCCUCUGGUUGAGCGCGAGGCGCGAGUGAUCGGUCGGUGGUUUCCCUCGCGGGGCCCUGGCCCCGAGUCCGGAAUCGAGGCCGGAGUCGGUACCGGGGAAGAGGAGAAGGGCGGGAUUCCCUCAGGGGAAGAAUCCAGCCUGGCAGGAGGAGACUGCAGGGCGAGGCGGCCAGUGCACAGAGGCUGAUCGCGGCGCAGCUGAUGCCUCCGAGCUCUGACGCCGGCGUGGGGGCUCCUUCCCAGCUGCUCCGGUUGUAUCGGGAAGGAUGACCACGCUCACGCGACAGGACCUCAACUUUGGUCAAGUGGUGGCCGACGUGCUCUGCGAGUUCCUGGAGGUGGCGGUGCACCUGAUCCUCUACGUGCGUGAGGUUUACCCGGUGGGCAUCUUCCAGAAGCGUAAGAAGUACAACGUGCCUGUCCAGGCUCAGCCCUCUCAGUCCCCAGCGGCCUGGCCUUGCCUUCUAGUUCCCGGCAGCUGCUGAUAGCCCGACAACCUCUCACCGCAGUGGCGUUUCCUUCUGUCCCCUCUGAACUGGGAGUUCCCCUUGCUAGAAGUUAGGGACCAGGCCCUCCGAUUAGAGCCCCCCAGCCCCCCAUCUUUGUAUUUUAAAGCUUAAAAGAUACACAGGGGGGAAAAAAACCCCCAAAAACAAACAAACAAAAAGAUAUGCAAGGAAAAGGAAAAAAAGAAUCAGCACUUACUGAGCACCCACCGUGUACUAGGUACUUAUCUCACUUAAUCCUCACUUUUUUUUUAAAUGAGAUCUUCCACAGAUGAAGUAACCAAAGCACAGAGAAGUUAAGCCUGAGACCGCACAACUCCUUAGUUCCAGAUUCUUUUUUAAAUUUUAUUUAUUUAUUUAUUUAUUUAUUUUUGGCUGCAUUGGGUCUUCGCUGCUGCGCGCGGGCUUCCUCUAGUUGCGGCGAGAGGGGGCCGCUCUUCGUUGCGGUGCGCAGGCUUCUCAUUGCGGUGGCUUCCCUUGUUGCGGAGCACCGGCUCUGAAGGCGCGCGGGCUUCAGUAGUUGUGGCUCGCGGGCUCUAGAGCGCAGCCUCAGUAGUUGUGGCGCACGGGCUUAGCUGCCCCGCGGCGUGCGGGAUCUUCCCAGACCAGGGCUCUCCCCUGCAUUGGCAGGCAGAUU